Molecule: ribosomal RNA, 270 nt
Filed under: uncultured bacterium
Lineage: Bacteria
Description: partial 16S ribosomal RNA
Rfam family: Bacterial small subunit ribosomal RNA
Source: RNAcentral
AACGAACGCCAGCGGCGUGGAUUAGGCAUGCAAGUCGAACGUGAUCCGUAGCAAUACGGUGAAAGUGGCGGAAGGGUGAGUAAUGCAUAGAUAACCUGCCUCCGAAUCUGGGAUAACUCCGGGAAACUGGAGCUAAUACCGGAUGGGGUUGCUGGAUCGCAUGGUUCGGCAACUAAAGGUGCCCUCUUUACAAUGGUACCGUUCGGAGAGGGGUCUAUGUCCUAUCAGCUAGUUGGUGAGGGUAACGGCCCACCAAGGCAUUGACGGGUA